CAAUCCACCUGAAUUGACCAAGUUUGUCAGUGAUGAUCGAUUGCUUAUUUGUGUUUGGUAUCAGUGUAUAGUUCAUGUUUAAUUUCAAUUACUCAACUACUAGAACAGAAGAUAUUUUUGUUCUUCGUUGAUUAUGUUGAACGUUUAGCUAAACAUGUACAUACCUACCACUUAAUAAUUUAUAUAGUUAACAGAAAUCUCCGAUCACAACAUCUGUACUUGUAUAUUAUGUCGAAUGAUGAAAAGGAAAAAAAAAACGGAAAUUUCUGUUUCCGUUUUGAGCUUGUUAACUUGUUUUUACUGUCAGUUUUGACAAAUUAUCUAGUUUUAAGCUGUGUGCUGUAUUUAAGGAGAUUCAACAAUCUCUAACAUGACACUUUCUUAAGGCUUUAUGAAGCUACGUCCAGUAGCCAGGUAGCUCAAAAGAAAUGUUUUGAAGAAUGGUAAAACAAGUUAACGUCAGUAAGCUUAGGUAUUGGAGCGAGAAAGUAACAAUCAAUACCACGCAACAAUAUUGAACCUGACUUUAUGUUUAUAAUUAAUGCACAAAGCACAACAGUUCCACUAGCUAAAGUCGCCAACGGCCAACCAUCUAGUUGAGAAAUAUCAACAAAACUGGUAUUUUGACAGUUCAGAUACAAAUAGUCAUCUUUUGAAUAAUAAAAUCCAACUGGCUAGGUAGUCACUCAAGAUUGUGAGCACACUUUUGUGAGUGAGAUGAGAACUGAGAAAAAGUGACUGAUGUAAGCAAGGUUCUGGCUGGCAAAAUAGAAACUUCCGGCGAGACUUCAAAUAUGGAUUAGGGUGUAGUUAAGAUUUAAGAAUGAAUCAUUUGAAAUUAAACUAUUUUUGACGAGCAUUUUGUGGAGUUAAAAA
This is a long non-coding RNA of Episyrphus balteatus (marmalade hoverfly), 876 nucleotides long. RefSeq lists it as uncharacterized. The transcript is spliced from 3 exons. Lineage: Eukaryota; Metazoa; Arthropoda; Insecta; Diptera; Syrphidae. The record is from RefSeq and is a predicted model, not a curated record.